CUCAACUUAGAUGACAAUGUAUAUACUUUAUCACAUUAUAUAGAUGGUGCAACAACGUAUAUACUUUAUCACAUUAUAAGUCCUCACACCAUUAACUAUGACAAAAUCUGAAAGUAUAAGUCUGGUUACAUUCACCCAAGUCCAAACAUAAAAUUCUGUCCAACAUAGUACAACCCACUUUGAUAAUUUCAUAGGAUUUAAUAUACCGAACGAAACCUGACAAGUGAUAUGUGUUUCAAGUAUCAACAGAACAGCCUCUAAAAUUUUCAUGUUGUAACUUUAUUUUAAUACCACCUCUAACAGGGCCUUAUCUCCCAUAUCGAAAUACGGUACCCAGGAACAUAUAUUUCGGCACAGCAAACUAAACUGAUAGCUGCUCUCAAACCGUACAUCCAAACGACACAAAUAAAUACUCUAAAGAAACCUUGAAACUUUAUCUAAAACUUAUGUAAAGGGGCCAACUCAAAAUUCUGAGCCUAGCUAACUCAUUUUUCAGAUAUAAGCUUGCUUAUUUUCCAUUGCACCUGAAGAACUAGCUGUUGUUGCUCGUGUGCCCGUGCUGCUGAUGCUCCUCUUGUGCUGAUCCAAGUGGCUGUGUUGUGCUGCUGCUGAUUAGAACAAUUUUGCUCCUCUGCACUCUGAAGAAGGUACUCUGUCAGAGUAUUGUACCUGAAAAUUAAUGAAGUUUAUUCAGUGUUAACUGAAUCAUGACAAUGCCAAUAAAGGAGUCAAUUCAGUUGUUAACUUAAAAUUCAUGAAGUACAUUCAUUUUAAUACAAAAACUGUUGCUGAUCGUUGUGAACAAAAAUCAUGGAUUGAUGUUAACUCAAAAGUAGUGAAAGAAAUUGUUGCUGAUCAUGGAUUACUGUUAAGUAAAAUAGAGCAUCUCGCUUGUCUUAUCAUGUUGAGUAAAAUGAAUGACACUGUGUUGCGCUGCUGCUUGACUUAUCAAUUAGUGUGAACUCUGAAAUAGCAUGAAUAUUUGAAACGACAUGCCUCUAAAUGACACUUGAGUAAAAUGAAUACUUGCAGGUUCAUCCAACGUAUUGCUACACUAAUAGUAAAACGAAUACCUGCAGGUUAGUGUUAGUACUCCAAAACUUGAGUCUCAUGAAUGAUGAGUCUCAUUUACUGAAUUUACUCCAACACUAAGUCCACAAAAAUGAAUCGGUUCAGUAAACUUGAAGUACUCAACACUGAACAUGGUUCAGAGCUCACUACACUACACUACAUCGCGCAAUGGUUCAGACCUCACUAAACUAGAACAAGCUCACUACACUACACUACACUACACUACACAUGCUUAAACUCUGAACAUAAACAAACACCAGUAAUGCCAGACCAAGACUUUGCUCGAAAAUUCUAAGAAGUAUUUAUGAGUUUUAGCUGACCUGAGGAACUCUGCAAGAAUGGUUAGGUACCCCUGAUAAAUGCAGUAAAAAAGAAGGCAAUGCAAUUAGACAUGUCUUGAUGAAGCCAUUUACAGCAGCGUUCAACUGAACAUACAACUGAACAUAAAUGCAGUAAAACAGAAGGCAAUGUAGUUACUUCCUAUUACUUCCUACUAGUUCGAAUUCGUGGCACUCACCCUUCUAGACAAUAUAUAAACUACCUCUGUUUCUAGGCAACAAGAGUUAUCAUCAGUUUAGUUUUUGGUCGUGGUAACAAAGAAAACAGAGCUUGAGUGCUUGACAACACAAUAACAAAAGUUAUCAUCUGUUCAGUUUAGUUUUCUUCAUUCGCUUGUGUGUGUGUGUGUGCACCCAUUGUUGGUUCGUUCAUGCUCUGAAACUGAAAACUAAAUCUGGUAGUUUGAAAACUGAAAACAGAGCUAUGCUGAUGAACAUGAACCAACUCCAAAAUUAAGCUAGUUUGGAGCACCAGACACCAGGGGAGCAAGCUCAGUCGAGAGGGAUGGGCCAUGGAGUUGAUCAGGUGGGAUAAAGUUCCAUCACAUAGUAACAAGCUCAGGAGAGCGUAAGCAAGUCAUUUUUUUUAACUGAAACCAAGUGUCUUAGUACAAACUACUGAUCAACAGCACAAACCUAAGAAUCUAACAGGAGGAGAUCGAAGCAGUGAGGGAGCGAGGGGACGGUGCCGUACCUCGCGGGAUGGAUUCGGUCGCGGCUUGAACUCGGUUGUGGAUCCAGGCGAGGAGAAGGGAGGUGGGAGCUCUGGCGCCGGUGCCGCGAGACGGUCGGCAUGCAGUGGAUUAUUUUUUCCCUCGGCGUCGUCGAUCUGGACCUGGAAGAGGAUGGAUUAACCAAGGUAAGCGCAAAAAUCUCUGCAUAGGGCAAGGGGCGAAGGCGCCGGCGGCUUCAUACAAGGAGAUCGAAGGCGAAGCACGUAGGGCAAGGGGUGGUCGUAGUCGUACAUGUACCUGGCUAGCACAUAAUGGAUCUGUCGCGGAGGAACCCAGCACCUGGCCCGGUGAGGAGAAGCUCAGGCGUCGGCGACGCGUGCACCGCGAGACAAGGGCAGCAGUGGAGUGAGAACUGAGAAGCAAGAUGGGAGGCGCGGGGGCGCAGCGGCGGUCAGUGGGCGGGUGAGAGAUGGAUUGGGGAAGAUAGAAAGGGGACUGGGGAUUUUAGUUGGGG
Molecule: long non-coding RNA, 2597 nt
Filed under: Hordeum vulgare
Lineage: Eukaryota; Viridiplantae; Streptophyta; Magnoliopsida; Poales; Poaceae
Description: long non-coding RNA (HVUL_LNC009245)
Source: RNAcentral